GUUGAACGGAGGAGCCGUGCGCCUCUGGGGGCCGCGCCGGUGGGCGCCCCGCAGCAGCUGGCCCCGGGCGGCCCCAGCGCCCGGCCGCCCUGCCAGCGGCGACGGAGCAUUUCCAUACAGCAAGUGUCUGUGCGCGCCGCUCGGAAAGGAUGGGCACGGAGGGAGGGGGAGCAGCGGCGAAGCCCAGACGUCUUGCCGCCCGCCCGGUGCCGCAGCCGAAAGGGUGACAGAAAGGACCGUUUCGCGGGGACGGUGCCCACGGCCGCGGGCCUGCGUCUCUCCAGGGACAGGGCUUUCCGGAGAAACAAAUCAAGAAAAAAAACCUGGUUUAUCUUCCCUCCACCCAGCGUCAGUUCUUCGUGGCUGUGCAUAGGGACUGCGGAGCAGCGUGAAGUGCUGUGUAGGACAGAGGCUCCUCCAGGUGCUGGUGCUCCCACAGACAGAAAAAAAUUUUCACAGCUGUGUCUCCUGAGUUUUGCGAAGGAAGCCGAGGCAUCAGGAGCAUACACCGGUUCUUUCCCAGCGUCAGCUGAGAUGAAGGUCCUGGACAGAGAUCCCACCCCAGAGGGUUAAUCAUCCCAAAUGACCUCAGUAGAAACUUCUUCUUAACUUUAAACUUUGGUCCUCAGAGUGCAGGAUUUCCCAGUGGAGCAAUGCAUGCAAACUGACAUCCGUUAAGACAAAAUGAGCAAGCUCAAAAGAAAAUUGCUCAUGAGUGCAAGGAGUUAUUGGAGCUAGCUGAACCUGAUUGCAGUCAAUCAGGUUGUGCCCGAGAAAUCCUUGAUCAAAGCAUGCUUCCAGGCUGUGGUCCAUAAUGAUUGUCAGCUGCUGUCUGCCUCAGUCUACAGCUUAACUGCACCUCAGCGACAACUGCCUCCUGCUUUUAUCUGUGUUGUGGGACCGUGUGCCCUAGAAUACGCUCCCUUCAGUAUGUUCAGGUUGGAUUGUUUGUUUUCUUUUUCUGCAUUUGAAAUACAUGGCAAACUCUUCUUUCCCCGAAUGUGUUUUGUUUCAUUAUAGUUAAUAACCACAGCUACAUUUCCUUAAGGUUGGCCUGUGUCAAGGGAACCCUCUGCCUUCCUUCUGAUGUUUUCCCUCCCUCCGUGCUCUUCAUGGCCUGAUGGAACAGUUUCUUGUCACUGAUACAUGGACAUUCAAAGGACUUGCAUAGCCUUCGAUUUUAAGAACACGCUUUUGUAGCUAUUUUCUUGAAGAAAAAAAUGAGUAUUGAUUAAUAUUUUUUUUUCUUUGCAUGAAAAUAGGAGGGGAGGCCUGAUUUGGCAGGAUGCUGAACGUGCUCUGCCGCACAGUGAAUUCUGUCACUUACUGUGCUUUCCAGGCUAGCUGCUGGAAAUGUCACAGGAUUAAUUUCAGAAUCCCCUGAGAUGCCUGUUGGCUUUGUCCAGAAUCAUUACUCAUUCUCUGCUACGUACACAAGCUUAUUAAACCACGGUGAGACCUUAGUUGUGUUUGCUGUGUUACUGUUCAUUUCCAUUCUGUUCUGUCUAGGCUCUUACCCUUUGCCUACCGAUAUGUUACGCGAGCACCUUGCAGUGACAGCUAGCUGUGUUCUCUGUUGUGCAUGCUUAUUUUAUGGCACAUAGGAGCUAACCGAUGCAAGGAAGCCAGCCAGUUACUUGUGCUGUUCUCUGGCUUGUACCCAUCACUUCUAGUCCGUGAUAGUGUAGUGAAAAAAUCAAUAGCAGACAAAUAAGUAGACACGAUGUCAUCCUUGCAGAUAGGGAGGACUUGCAGGCAGCCAACAGAUCAUGUAUGUGCUUUAAGAAUGUUUGUGGAGUUACCAUCCAAGAAUGUGCAAAUAGCUGCCCAUCCCAGUGUUACGUGCCUGCGAUUAGGGAGAAGUGCUAAACCAUCUCGAGACUUGAUUAGCAUCCAAAUCUGAAGGAUGUGUCUUGUGCUGCCGAGCUGGUUGGGGUGAUUUUUCUAGGGGAGUGAAGAAGAAACUAUGUGAAUGCAAUCUCUUCCUCACCUUAUCUCUGCUGGGGGCUAAAAUAAAACUGGAGGGAGGUGGCUGGCGGGAGCUGGUGGGCUGCUCUGCGAAAGGGUCCUCCAGCGUGGGCUCCAUCCAGCAGCCAGGAGCGAGGAGCCCAGCGCCUUGUGCAGCCCCACGGGGAGAAGGACAUCUCUUUGAGUCAGCCAGGAAACCUGUCUGCUGCCCGCUGUUUUCCCAGGGACCGAUGUCCUCAGGAAGUAAAAGGUUAGCACGGGCUAUCAGCAGACUACUUUGGUGCGGAGACUUUUUUACGAUUGCAUUAACGUCUCUUUUCCUGUUGUUGUACAGAAAUUAUGACUCCUAGUGUCAAUGGUGAGAUGAAAGCAGGAGCCUUUUUGCAUGGAGCAAGCAUUAAAAGCUAGCUGUUAGGUUAAUCAUAAAAGAGAAUUAGUGCUGGCUGGCGGCUGUUUACUUUCAGAGAAGUUUGCUUUUGUGUUGUUACUCUUUUAACUCUUUGCACUCGUCUGUAUCCUUUUGUACAGAGUCAGCUACGUAUUUGUCACUGUCCUCUUUCGCUGCCUAACCUGGGGUCUGCUGCUGAAACUCCCCACGAGCUCAACUUCUCAACUAACGGGAUAGUUUGGAAUCAGAGCAGAAAACUGGGAGAUAGGAUGGGUCUUUCAGGUGAGCAGUGUGUGACAACACAAUAAUGUUUGUAACCGGUUGUGAGAGGAGAGCCUCUGGUUUCAAGGAGCGGGCUUUUUCAGGAUGUACCCAUACAGUGUUUAACAGUGCCAUGUCAAAAUAAAAAUCAUUGAUUAAAAGUGCACCUU
Molecule: long non-coding RNA, 2787 nt
Filed under: Aquila chrysaetos chrysaetos
Lineage: Eukaryota; Metazoa; Chordata; Aves; Accipitriformes; Accipitridae
Description: lncRNA (ENSACCG00020003168.1)
Source: RNAcentral